Molecule: ribosomal RNA, 691 nt
Filed under: uncultured Serratia sp.
Lineage: Bacteria; Pseudomonadati; Pseudomonadota; Gammaproteobacteria; Enterobacterales; Yersiniaceae
Description: bacterial SSU rRNA
Rfam family: Bacterial small subunit ribosomal RNA
Source: RNAcentral
GUAGUCCACGCUGUAAACGAUGUCGAUUUGGAGGUUGUGCCCUUGAGGCGUGGCUUCCGGAGCUAACGCGUUAAAUCGACCGCCUGGGGAGUACGGCCGCAAGGUUAAAACUCAAAUGAAUUGACGGGGGCCCGCACAAGCGGUGGAGCAUGUGGUUUAAUUCGAUGCAACGCGAAGAACCUUACCUACUCUUGACAUCCAGAGAACUUUCCAGAGAUGGAUUGGUGCCUUCGGGAACUCUGAGACAGGUGCUGCAUGGCUGUCGUCAGCUCGUGUUGUGAAAUGUUGGGUUAAGUCCCGCAACGAGCGCAACCCUUAUCCUUUGUUGCCAGCGGUUCGGCCGGGAACUCAAAGGAGACUGCCAGUGAUAAACUGGAGGAAGGUGGGGAUGACGUCAAGUCAUCAUGGCCCUUACGAGUAGGGCUACACACGUGCUACAAUGGCAUAUACAAAGAGAAGCGACCUCGCGAGAGCAAGCGGACCUCAUAAAGUAUGUCGUAGUCCGGAUUGGAGUCUGCAACUCGACUCCAUGAAGUCGGAAUCGCUAGUAAUCGUAGAUCAGAAUGCUACGGUGAAUACGUUCCCGGGCCUUGUACACACCGCCCGUCACACCAUGGGAGUGGGUUGCAAAAGAAGUAGGUAGCUUAACCUUCGGGAGGGCGCUUACCACUUUGUGAUUCAUGACUGGGGU